GGCGAUGCAAGCUCGAUCCAGAUCUCCUCGAAGCUUCUCCGACACAGAAGACGCAGCGAAAAUGUUGUAAAUGAAGGAAGAAACGAUUACGAACCCUAAUCGGAACAAAAACCCUACAAUGACCUAUGGAACCCUAGAAAAGAGGGGAAACUGGAUUGGGACCGAUUAAACGGUGGGAAUGGUGUUUUAAUCGGUGGAGAUGGAAGAUCGAAGGUUGGAAAGGUGUUUAAUCGGUCUAAAAGCCGAAUCAAUCGGUAGAAAUGGACGGAGAUGAUGAAUGAAGGGUUUUAAUCGGUAGAAAACCUAGCAAGAUGGAGGAGGAGGAUGGAUCUAU
Molecule: long non-coding RNA, 334 nt
Filed under: Vigna radiata
Lineage: Eukaryota; Viridiplantae; Streptophyta; Magnoliopsida; Fabales; Fabaceae
Description: long non-coding RNA (VRAD_LNC016337)
Source: RNAcentral